This is a long non-coding RNA of Oreochromis niloticus (Nile tilapia), 3704 nucleotides long. RefSeq lists it as uncharacterized. The transcript has 4 exons. The record is from RefSeq and is a predicted model, not a curated record. NCBI's taxonomy places the organism in Eukaryota, Metazoa, Chordata, Actinopteri, Cichliformes, Cichlidae.
AGUUUAAUUAAGAGUGCAUUUUCAAUGAAUAAUGUAUUAAUAAGUAAUACAAACUAAUUGUAAACAACUGUCAUGUGUAGGACUUGAACUUUGACCUGUGGUCUCUGAUAUGAGCGAUGAAAUUGAGUUUUUCACCCUUUAUAAAUGGAAAAGUGUUUUUGUGUCAAUCAGUGCAUAUAAGGCCAAAUCAAACUGGAGACAGUGCGUAUAAUUACGGAAAAGUAUUUUAGUUCAGUAGAAAAUCUGAAUAUGUGUCUAUUGUUUCUGCCACCUUUGGUGAUAAACCCAGUUAACUGUUGACCCCUCAGAGCGCCUCUUGUGGAGACCGGAAGUGCAGACAGAGGCAGGUCCGUGUUACAGUUCCGUGCUGCAGCUUCUCUGCGGCCUGUGUGAGGACCUGUGAGCGGACUGAGCGGAACCUCCUCACACUUAACACACAUGAAGAAGUAGUCCCUCCCACGCGGCUGCCUCUGUCCGUGGUACUAGGGUCGGCUCCGCGGUGCUGCGGCUCAGAGACACGUCACAGCGCCGGUCUGAGACAAGCUGAAGUCCGCGUGCAGCUCAGGGUGCGGAGUUCUCGGUGGAUUCAGACGGUACCGGCUGCCAUCUCCGCUCUUUCAUCUCCCAUCACGCUUACUGCCGGUGCGGCCCCGCCACCUCCGCUACCUCCUUGACUCUCAUUGGUUCUCCUUCUUGUCGCUUCCUGUUUGCAACUCCUGAUUGGCUUUCCUCCACCGACCAUGCCCCCGUUUUUAUUUGCAAGCAGUUUGGACCAAUCGCAGCUUGGCUUGCGGCCAGAGGGCGGGAGGAGGAAGCUGGGGCGGGGCCAGAGUCAGACUGACAGAAAUGGGGGAGAAGGGGCAGAUUUGUGAGGAGAAACUACCCCAGCAGGGCUCUUUGUGCUCAUAUGACGAGGUAGAAAGUGCACAAGGGCAGGUGUGGGUGGAUGUUCGGCCUGGUGAGGGGCAUUUCUGCUAUCCUCCCCCUCCCCCCGCGUCUCUGUCUCAGGAAGUUGAGAGUGGAGUGAAUGCUGCUGCUGCCAUGUUUAAACCUGCAGAGCAUCCAUGUUAAAGGAGUAAACAACACAAAGACUGUUCUGCCCGAGUCAGCUCCACUGCAACGCUGGGCAGGAGCUCAAACACGCGUUAUUUUACAUGUAUGACAGGAAUAACACGUGUUCAUGAAAAAAGCCACACUGGGUUUAUUUUUAAUAAGUAAUCCACACUUAAAGUCAUCUUUAUUUUUUUUUUAAAUAGUUUUACAUUGUAUAGUCUAAGUCACAUGUAACAAAAAUCAGUCUUUUAUAAUUGCUUCAAAUCCAACCUAUUUACAUCACUACUUACUGUUUAAUGCCUUUAAAUAUCCAUCCUUUCUUUUCCUUCCACUCAACCACUUUAAAUGAACAUAUUUUGGUGUGUUUGUUUUCAGUGUGUUAAAAAUGUUGGUGCAGAUGUGCAUAGCUGUGAAAAUGACAAAACCUUUACAUCACAAAAACAUACGCAAUGUGAGCUUGGUGUAGUUUAUUUUUUAAUUAAAUCAACAGGUUUUCAUUUCUGACAUUCACUCGUAUUUUGUAUCCUGGUGCAGCUUAAUUAACAAAAUAACUGUGUGUGUGGCACUUUACAUCAAAACAUUAUGACUCAAAGAAACAGCUGACACAGCCUACAUAUUAUUUAUCAUGCACAUUAAGUAUUAAUGAGGGUUAGGAUAUUACUAGUAGAGAAGUUGCUGUGAGUUUCCAAACAGGUGAGGGUCAUGUGAUGCAGGUUGGCUUGUGUGAACUGGGUGUAGCUGUCAUAUUAAAACCCUGUUAUGACUUUUAAAGCUUUAUUAUAUUUAUAUUCUGUAAAGCUGCUCACAGUUUUUGUGCAUUAUUUUUUUUAAUGUCAUUUAAAUAAAUAAAAAUACAGUAUCUAAGCUUAAAGUGAUUAUUAUGUGGGCAUCCUGUGGGUAAAAGGCAAUUUCUGGACGUUAGGUAAGCCUUAAGUUUGUUAAUGUUGCAACUGGAAAAAGUUUUUAUAACUUAUAUCCUAUAUCUAUGUGGAUUUUCUAUACAUGUGUUAUAUAUAUAUAUAUAUUAUGUAUAUUUAUAAUUGAAGUCUGUAGAAUAACUAGAGAUUUUGUAAUGACUGUAAUGAAGCAGUUUUAUUUACAUUCCAGCACUUUAGGUUUGAAUGUGAAAAGCUCGGUGUAAUUCACACACUGAACAGCUUUUAUUCAUCUUUUCUUUUAACUGGACCUCUCUGAACCGUCAGAGUGUGGCUAGGUGCCGUUUUAUUGCGACCAAAGAGGUAAAAACACGACUUUUAAUCAUAAAACCUGACUGUAACUGCCCCCCGCUCACUUCGCAUGCGCAGUGAAGCAGGGAGGAGGGGGUCUGCUCUCGCUGCUCCAUCCGGGAACUUCAGAAUUACCAUUGACAGCCGAAGCGCAACUUUUCCCCAGGCAAAGUGAAAUCAAGCCGCGGACUCGGACAAAAUAUAGACCCCGUUUUUCAACUUAAAAUUAGCGAAAGAAAAGCGACCCGGCUGCCCGGUCGGACCCGUCGACGCUCGGUGGUCUUCUGGAGAGGAGCCGUGCGAGGCCCGAGCUCUUCCCGCCGGGUUUGGAGCACUUUUGAAGACGGGCGGAAAGUGGGUGAUGAGUCCUGGGCUGUAAAAAGAAGCGAGAACUUGCUUUGCAGCCCGAGUAGUUCUUCUUUCAAUUGUUAUUGUCGCUUAAAAAAAUCUUUAAAAUCACUCAAACUUGGUCUCGGCCGCGUCGAAAGUGGGAGAAAAGUGCUUUCCUGGUCGGAACAUGGAACUGCAAGGCCUGCAAGAGGCGCUGAAAGUAGAGAUCCAAUGUCAUCAGGUGGUGCACACAUGAAAGCAGGCUCUCAUGGACUACGUUAGAAUCUAAGCUUCAUGCACGUGGAGCUGUUACAGUUUUAUUUGUUGUUUGGAGCUGAACGGAGAGGAAAUCAUAAUGAGGGAAAAGUUUGGAUAAACUGAGAGGGAUCGAUAUGAACGCUAAGCAUGAGCCAUUCUGAUGAUUUGGCUGAUUUUUACUGCACCACCAGUGUGAAGAUGGAGAUCCUUCAGGUUUAAACGGCUACCAUCUUCUCCUGUUAAGGAAACUCUGGCUCCUGUCUGUUAGCAUGUAUUCCCUGAGCUCCCCACAGUGUCAGCAACAAUCAAAACUACAGCCAUCUUAAAAGUGCUGAAUGAUUUUAUCGAUAAAACAACCAACAAGCAGCGGCAUGCAGCCUUUUUUAAAGGCAUCUCACAGAGUGGAUCCUGCAGCUGUAAAGCACAGACUUGGUUUGAGAAUGAUUUAUCGGGCAGAUGUCAGUGUGUACAGACAGAAUGAAUCACUUCCAGCUUGUUUAAUGUAACUGAAGGCGUUCCCCAGGGUUCAGUACUGGGGCCGCUACUGUUUGUUUUAUAUAUGAACAGUCUGAGACUCUUACAGACCUUAUAGCUCUUACCCAGCAUUAUACGUGGUGUGUUCGGGUCAGAGGUCAUUUUGUAGACUCGGCUGUGCUGUUCUUAUUUAUAGAGCAGGUGAAUCUUCAGUCUGUGAGCGGCUGGUGUGGUCGAGUGUAUCUGAAAUGCUGAAGAAGUGAUGGGAGCACACAUCUUUCAGAAGUGUGUGAAAAUUUGUUUGAUAUUAUUUGAACUUUUCUGGUGACUAAGAUCAUGUUCUAACUAUACUUUCAAAUAAAA